UACCUAGCUCAGAGUGAACGCUGGCGGCGUGCCUAAUACAUGCAAGUCGAACGAUGAAGCUUCUAGCUUGCUAGAGUGCUGAUUAGUGGCGCACGGGUGAGUAACGCAUAGGUCAUGUGCCUCUUAGUUUGGGAUAGCCAUUGGAAACGAUGAUUAAUACCAGAUACUCCCUACGGGGGAAAGAUUUAUCGCUAAGAGAUCAGCCUAUGUCCUAUCAGCUUGUUGGUAAGGUAAUGGCUUACCAAGGCUAUGACGGGUAUCCGGCCUGAGAGGGUGAACGGACACACUGGAACUGAGACACGGUCCAGACUCCUACGGGAGGCAGCAGUAGGGAAUAUUGCUCAAUGGGGGAAACCCUGAAGCAGCAACGCCGCGUGGAGGAUGAAGGUUUUAGGAUUGUAAACUCCUUUUGUUAGAGAAGAUAAUGACGGUAUCUAACGAAUAAGCACCGGCUAACUCCGUGCCAGCAGCCGCGGUAAUACGGAGGGUGCAAGCGUUACUCGGAAUCACUGGGCGUAAAGAGCGCGUAGGCGGGAUAGUCAGUCAGGUGUGAAAUCCUAUGGCUUAACCAUAGAACUGCAUUUGAAACUACUAUUCUAGAGUGUGGGAGAGGUAGGUGGAAUUCUUGGUGUAGGGGUAAAAUCCGUAGAGAUCAAGAGGAAUACUCAUUGCGAAGGCGACCUGCUGGAACAUUACUGACGCUGAUUGCGCGAAAGCGUGGGGAGCAAACAGGAUUAGAUACCCUGGUAGUCCACGCCCUAAACGAUGGAUGCUAGUUGUUGGAGGGCUUAGUCUCUCCAGUAAUGCAGCUAACGCAUUAAGCAUCCCGCCUGGGGAGUACGGUCGCAAGAUUAAAACUCAAAGGAAUAGACGGGGACCCGCACAAGCGGUGGAGCCAGUGGUUUAAUUCGAAGAUACACGAAGAACCUUACCUAGGCUUGACAUUGAGAGAAUCCGCUAGAAAUAGGGAGUGUCUAGCUUGCUAGACCUUGAAAACAGGUGCUGCACGGCUGUCGUCAGCUCGUGUCGUGAGAGUUGGGUUAAGUCCCGCAACGAGCGCAACCCCCUUUCUUAGUUGCUAACAGGUUAUGCUGAGAACUCUAAGGAUACUGCCUCCGUAAGGAGGAGGAAGGUGGGGACGACGUCAAGUCAUCAUGGCCCUUACGCCUAGGGCUACACACGUGCUACAAUGGGGUGCACAAAGAGAAGCAAUACUGUGAAGUGGAGCCAAUCUUCAAAACACUCUCAGUUCGGAUUGUAGGCUGCAACUCGCCUGCAUGAAGCUGGAAUCGCUAGUAAUCGCAAAUCAGCCAUGUUGCGGUGAAUACGUUCCCGGGUCUUGUACUCACCGCCCGUCACACCAUGGGAGUUGUGUUUGCCUUAAGUCAGGAUGCUAAAUUGGCUACUGCCCACGGCACACACAGCGACUGGGGUGAAGUCGUAACAAGGUAAGUAGGUGAACCCAUUAC
Molecule: ribosomal RNA, 1469 nt
Filed under: Helicobacter pylori
Lineage: Bacteria; Pseudomonadati; Campylobacterota; Epsilonproteobacteria; Campylobacterales; Helicobacteraceae
Description: bacterial SSU rRNA
Rfam family: Bacterial small subunit ribosomal RNA
Source: RNAcentral